AUCCCGUGCUUGUGCUCCUGUGACGCAAGAUGUCGCACAACGCGCUUUACACUACCCCUCGUGCGGUACCGUACUGCACCCUGGCCAUCGCCAACGCCUUCAAGGACCUGACCCCGAAGCAGCGUCACUACGCCCAUCACAUGAUGGCGGCGGGGUGGUGCGGCGCCCCGGUGGUGGCUGAGCAGGUGAGUCCCGAGUCACUGCCGCUCCUGCGUUUCUUCUUCCAGGUGCUCAGUGCGCAGCCGCUGGACACCUUCAAGGCGAACAGCGUCAACGCCGGCGUCGACCCCGAUGAGGUGAACCAGUUCCUGGAAUACUUCGCGAUGGUCUACUCGAACAUGGGCAACUACCUCUCCUUCGGCGACACCAAGUUCGUCCCAUCGAUUCCGAAGGAACGCUUUGCGAAGAUCGUGGCGAGCGCGGAGGGGUCUCCGGCGGUGGAUGCGCAGCUGCUGGACGCCAUCUACAACCUGGACGACGACAAGCUGACGCUGGACUUCCCUCCCAAAGGGCUUACGCGGUACUACAGCCCAAACGUCACCCGCGAAGACGCCGCUGUCGCGAACGACUUCCUGGCGUCGAAAAAGAUGGACGGCGUCAACACACGCGUGUUCAAGGAGGAAGACGGCACCCUCGUCAUCCGCGUCGCGGCGGCGACCGAGAGGACGGUGCCGGCGGAGAAGUUCAACGGACGCACCAUUGCAAUUUACUAUGGCGACUACAAGGAGGAGAUGGCCCGCGUCGUCGCGGAGCUGCGCAAGGCGCAGCCGUACGCGGAGAACGAGACGGAGGUGCGUAUGUUGAACCACUACAUCGAGCACUUCCAGUAUGGCGACGUGGACGUGCACAAGGAGAGCCAAAAGGAGUGGGUGAAGGAUGUGGGGCCGACGGUGGAGACGAACAUCGGCUUCAUCGAGUCGUACCGCGACCCCUCCGGCGUGCGUGCGGAGUGGGAAGGCUUCGUGGCGGUGGUGAACAAGGAGCAGUCGAAGAUGUACGGCGCACUGGUGGCACAGGGCGAGAAGUUCGUUGCUGAGCUGCCGUGGGGCAAGGCGUUCGAGAAGGACGUCUUCUCCAGCCCGGACUUCACCAGCCUUGACGUCCUGGGCUUCGCGAGCAGUGGCAUUCCGGCCGGCAUCAACAUCCCCAACUACGACGACAUUCGCCAGACCGUUGGCUUCAAGAACGUGUACCUGUCCAACGUGGUGAGCGCGAUGACCUUCAAGGACAAGCUCAACUACAUCACAGAGGCGGACUGGGAGCUGUACAAGGCGAGCAUUCUCACCGCGACCUCGGUGAACGUCGGCAUUCACGAGCUGCUGGGCCACGGCACAGGCAAGCUGCUGUCGGAGAACAGCGACGGCACCUUCAAUUUUGACGAGAAAACGGUGGACCCAAUCAGCGGCAAGCCCGUUGCCACGUGGUACAAGCCCGGCGACACGUAUUCGAGCGUGUUUGGCGGUCUUGGCAGCUCGUACGAGGAAUGCCGCGCUGAGGCGGUAUCGCUGUACCUCUGCUUGCUGCCAGACCUGCUGGAGAUCUUCAACCUCCAGACAACGAAAGAGCAGCAGGACGUCAUCUAUGUCUGCUGGCUGAACAUGGUGCGCGCCGGCCUGGUCGGGCUCGAGUUCUACACCCCGGAGAAGCAGCAGUGGCGCCAGGCUCACAUGCGGGCACGUUUCUGCAUUCUCCAGGCGCUGGCGCGUGCACCGAACCCGAUUGUGCAGAUCACCGAGAACGCCAAGGAGGGCGUCCUCAUCACACUCGACCGCGAGCGCAUCGCCACAGACGGGCGCCAGGCGAUUGGGGACCUGCUCGUGAACCUCAAUGUUAACAAGGCGACGGCCGACGCGAAGCGCGGCAGCGCCUACUUUGAGAACAUGACGGUCGUGAGCGACCAGUACGUGCACUACCGCGACAUCAUCAUGGCGCGCCGCAAGCCGCGCAAGCAGUACGUCCAGCCGCACACCUUCAUCAGCGGGGAUACGGUGGAGGUGCGGGAGUUUGCCGGAUCGGUAGAAGGGGUCGUGGAAUCCUUCGUUACCCGGCACCGCGAGAUCCCGCUGUAGGAGCGUCCUCCCGCAUCAAGCAAUCGGGGACGGAAAAGUAGUGGAAACAUACACCCAUGCGCACCCACAGACUACAUUUAUAUAUACAUAGCCGUUUGCUGGCAUGCUUUAUGUUUCUCUUGGGCUAUGAUGGUACGAUGGUAAAUGCAUGCAUCCACUACCACGUCUCCCUCCACCCUCGCUCCCUCAUACGCACACGUAAAAGCAAGGCGCACCCACGCACCUUAUCGUUUCCUUUGUGUUUGGUGGAACGCCUCCUUCGUUUGCGCACUACCAUGAAUCUAUCUCGCGGUGUCACUGUUGAUGUGGAGAGGUUGCUGUGAGCGUGCGCGCGCGUCCUCUCUCCGUCUCGCGUUUGUGUUGCUGCUGUUUUGUCAUGGUGCGCUGAAACAGGUGUGGUAACACUCACGCGAGAUGAGAGGAAUGCACAGAGGUGCACGCACACACGUGUACGCGGGCUAAUG
RNAcentral lists this unclassified non-coding RNA (2533 nucleotides) under Leishmania donovani. Its description in RNAcentral is "gene:LdHU3.05.1060(CDS-product:metallo-peptidase_ Clan_M-_Family_M49)". The record is from RNAcentral. Lineage: Eukaryota; Euglenozoa; Kinetoplastea; Trypanosomatida; Trypanosomatidae.